GUCCUCAAAGCUCAAGAUGAGUGUUUAACUGUUAAUUAAAAGGUUGCCAGUAGGCUGAGGAAG
Molecule: transfer RNA, 63 nt
Filed under: Myosotella myosotis (mouse ear snail)
Lineage: Eukaryota; Metazoa; Mollusca; Gastropoda; Ellobiida; Ellobiidae
Description: tRNA-Asn
Source: RNAcentral